This 301-nucleotide ribosomal RNA is filed under the name uncultured bacterium. RNAcentral's name for it is "partial 16S ribosomal RNA". It matches the Rfam family "Bacterial small subunit ribosomal RNA", at positions 509 to 809 of the family's 1533-position model. The record is from RNAcentral.
CAGUCGCCGCGGGAAUACGUAGGGUGCAAGCGUUAAUCGGAAUUACUGGGCGUAAAGCGUGCGCAGGCGGUUAUAUAAGACAGAUGUUAAAUCCCCGGGCUCAACCUGGGAACUGCAUUUGUGACUGUAUAGCUAGAGUACGGCAGAGGGGGAUGGAAUUCCGCGUGUAGCAGUGAAAUGCGUAGAUAUGCGGAGGAACACCGAUGGCGAAGGCAAUCCCCUGGGCCUGUACUGACGCUCAUGCACGAAAGCGUGGGGAGCAAACAGGAUUAGAUACCCCCGUAGUCCCUGUCUCUUAUAA